GGAUCCUUGCUUGGGCAACGACGACCUCCCAAUCAUGCCUUUUCAUUCUUGGUUCAAGUGCGACGUUAGUCUUGGCCGUUCGUCGGGUUUCCUGUGUUGCAUACCUAGUGCGAUGGUAUUCGUUUGUCAAAAUUGUCCCUCGUUCGUCAUGUGAUGCCCGUUUGACGUGCGCAUCACCGAUGAACCACGAAGCGCUCGUCGCGGUCCACUUCGCCCGCGUUAUCCGUGUGUCGUACGUGGCUCGUGACGAGUUGCUUGUGCUCUCGGAUGCAGAAAUCGUUGAGGGUACGGGGCUAUAGCCCCUCUCUACCCGAAACAACGCGUUCACCGCUAACUAGCGUACGACUGUCGUGGUCGUCUUGGGCUG
RNAcentral lists this unclassified non-coding RNA (367 nucleotides) under Orianthera spermacocea. RNAcentral's name for it is "Logania spermacocea partial external transcribed spacer". Lineage: Eukaryota; Viridiplantae; Streptophyta; Magnoliopsida; Gentianales; Loganiaceae. The record is from RNAcentral.